GACAGGUGCUGCAUGGCUGUCGUCAGCUCGUGUUGUUGAAAUGUUCGGUUAAGUCCGUUAACGAGCGCAACCCUUGCUGUGUGUUGUAUUUUUCUACACAGGACUAUCCUGGUCAACAGGGAGGAAGGUGGGGAUGACGUCAAGUCAGCAUGGCUCUUACGCCUCGGGCUACACUCGCGUUACAAUGGCCGGUACAAUGGGCUGCCAACCCGCAAGGGGGAGCCAAUCCCAUCAAAACCGGUCCCAGUUCGGAUUGAGGGCUGCAAUUCGCCCUCAUGAAGUCGGAAUCGCUAGUAACCGCGAAUCAGCACGUCGCGGUGAAUGCGUUCUCGGGUCUU
Molecule: ribosomal RNA, 338 nt
Filed under: uncultured bacterium
Lineage: Bacteria
Description: bacterial SSU rRNA
Rfam family: Bacterial small subunit ribosomal RNA
Source: RNAcentral